This 413-nucleotide long non-coding RNA is filed under the name Manihot esculenta (cassava). RNAcentral's name for it is "long non-coding RNA (MESC_LNC011882)". Lineage: Eukaryota; Viridiplantae; Streptophyta; Magnoliopsida; Malpighiales; Euphorbiaceae. The record is from RNAcentral.
CACUUCAUCAAAACGCGCAAAUGGGCCCACUCCUGCACAUCCAACACGCACAUGGGUCCCACCAAGGCGUUUCAGCAAUUCACUCCACCGAUGGCCCAUUCACGCACAAUCACAAGCACAUGGACAGCCCGCGCUUCAAAGCUCCUCACAUGGACCACUCACGCAAUGGACCAAGCUCAACACUCACGCUCCAGCCCAUUCAAGCACUCGGACGGCCAAUCACGCGCACGUGGGAAGCAAUUGUUUCCAAAUUAGGGCGCUCCUCUGCACUUAUUUAAAGGACUUUUAAGCGGUCGAAGAAGACAAUUCCAAUUCAAAUUCUAAUUCGGCAAUUUCGCAGGCGCAAGGCAGAAGUUCUUCGGUUCUUUCCUUCCUUUCCUUUUUAUUUUUAUUUUUUCUGUUUUUAAUUCAGC